Molecule: long non-coding RNA, 1006 nt
Filed under: Vombatus ursinus (common wombat)
Lineage: Eukaryota; Metazoa; Chordata; Mammalia; Diprotodontia; Vombatidae
Description: lncRNA (ENSVURG00010006076.1)
Source: RNAcentral
CUUAAAUGCUUUUAAUGAUUAAUUCUUCCUAAUUACAUUUUAGAAACUUAUUAGGUUGGAAUGGGAUGCUAUUCACGUGAUGCUUCCCUAUUUCAUUGGUGAGAAAACUGAGGAAAAAAGUUUAAGUGGCUGAGCACUGUGCUCACCUAGAACACUCCCAGUCUUAGCCUGGGGCACACAGUAGUUCUAGGACAGGAAAGGAUGCUUGCAAUUGUAGAUGAAGGUAUUUAUUCUCCAUACUUUCCUUUCUUUUCCUUUCUCUUUCUUGAAAUACAAAAAAAAAAAAUAGAAACAUCCUAAACUGGUAUUUCUUGGGCUCCUUUCAGAUGGUCCUGCCACUCCGACCUGCUGCUAUGACUUCACCAGUAAGAAGAUUCCUUCAAAGCUGGUGGUGAGCUAUGGGGUGACCAGCAGCAGAUGUGCCAAGCAAGGUGUGAUCUUUAUUACAAAACAAGGCUACAACAUCUGUGCUAACUCAAAGGAGCAGUGGGUCCAACAUGUUAUGAAGCAAUUAGACAGCAAGAAAGCCAAGACCCAGAGUUCAUGAAGGCUACUGCUACUUCCUCUUGCUGCUGCCUGCUUAGAGAUCCAAGCAGGAUGGAAGAAUAAUUUAUUUCCCUCCCACCUCGCACAGCUGUUCUGUGUAACAUUUUAUUAUAAUUUAAAUAUGUUUUGUCUUAUUUAAAUUAUUGUUUUUUUAACUUUAUGUGUCACAAGAAUUUGUGCCUUAAUCAUCAUCAUCAUCAUUAUUAUUUGUAACCUAUUCUUAGGCCAGCACUUCACCUCUGUGCCUUCACUUUCUCAUCUAUAAGAUGGACGAGGUUACAUUCCUCUCCUCCCUCUUCAUAAAGAUAUUGUGAGAAUUGUAUUAAAAAUCCAUAAGAAAGGUGUUUGGGCCUUUUGCAGGGCUGUCACACCUUUAACCCAAGGUACCGAUAAUGGAUGUUAUUAUGGAAAACAAUACUACACUACGGCUAUCGAAUUUCCGUAGACAAAUAUAUUUUUG